GCAUCCCAGAUUGUUACAACGAAACGAAAUAUUUCUCGUGACAAGCAGAAAAGCAUGAGAAUGUUUUCUAAUCAUUUAAAAGACGCAAUAUCCUACUGAGCUACUGUAUUUUGAUUGGUUAAUCGUUUGACGAGCUUUUUGGACGGGUUCCCUGUAAUGUAUGACUAAGUAGGCGGACGUCAAAGCAAGAAUUACAUAUAUCGGUAUAAUACAAUAGACAGUCAUGGGUGCAGUUAUUUAUUUUGUUCAUAGAUCGAAUUAUGUGAAUCCUUCAAAGUGCUGUGCAUGUGCAUGAUUAUUACAUAAAUAAGUGAUCAUGAAUAUGUAUUUAAUAAAAUACUAUCACGAUAUAUACCACGUAAAAACGCACAAGUUGUAACAAACCUGCAGCAGACUUGUAGCAAUGCUGUUCCAACAACUUGUCAACAGGAUGUGUUCGCACUGCUUGUUCCCAGCUUGGUGACAAGUUGUCAACGGCAUGUUGAUAACUUACUACAAGGUUGUUGAGCUCAACAGACCUGUUACACGUUGUUGCAACAACUUCUUAUUGUCCUGCAAUUCAACAUUUGUCAACAAGUUGUAAGUGACAACCUUGUAGCAACUUAAUA
Molecule: non-coding RNA, 608 nt
Organism: Paramuricea clavata
Lineage: Eukaryota; Metazoa; Cnidaria; Anthozoa; Malacalcyonacea; Plexauridae
Source: the annotation of a GenBank genome assembly